Molecule: ribosomal RNA, 433 nt
Filed under: uncultured bacterium
Lineage: Bacteria
Description: partial 16S ribosomal RNA
Rfam family: Bacterial small subunit ribosomal RNA
Source: RNAcentral
AACGAACGCUGGCGGCAUGCCUAACACAUGCAAGUCGAACGAGACCUUCGGGUCUAGUGGCGCACGGGUGCGUAACGCGUGGGAACCUGCCCUUAGGUUCGGAAUAACUCCCCGAAAGGGGUGCUAAUACCGGAUAAUGUCUUCGGACCAAAGAUUUAUCGCCCUUGGAUGGGCCCGCGUUGGAUUAGCUAGUUGGUAGGGUAAAAGCCUACCAAGGCGACGAUCCAUAGCUGGUCUGAGAGGAUGAUCAGCCACACUGGGACUGAGACACGGCCCAGACUCCUACGGGAGGCAGCAGUGGGGAAUAUUGGACAAUGGGCGAAAGCCUGAUGCAGCAAUGCCGCGUGAGUGAUGAAGGCCUUAGGGUUGUAAAGCUCUUUUAACCGGGAUGAUAAUGACAGUACCGGGAGAAUAAGCUCCGGCUAACUCCGUG